UGAUUGAUGAUGGAACAUCAAUCUCACCGGCCGGAGGCAGAACCCUCCCAUCGGCGAACAAAACCCGUCCAUUUACUCCAUCCCUAGGCGGCGCCACCAUCACGCCUUCAAGCUCCGCCGCAGCAUCACCGUAUAAAGCUCCAUCUCCAAACCUCCGUUCAACUUCCAGAAACUCUCCAAGGGACGCCGGCUUUGCCUCGCCAUCACUACAAAGCCUCCACCAUCUUCGCCGCCGCAGUAGUUCCACCGGAGCUCUUUUAUUCUUCUUUUUCUUGUUGUUGCGAUUCGCCCCAGUGGACGAAGACACGACGGAACCAGCACCGGCACCGGCGACGGGAAUCGAGUUUGUAUCACGUGGCUGAGAGGGUGCUCUGAAAGCAAUGGCAGUGGAAGUGACGCCCAUGAGAGUGCCUAAUGUGGUGCUUCUAUCGUGGAAGAAAGAACCUGUGGACUCAGUGUCGAGAUCGGAGGAGGAGACGGAGGAGCUAGUCGGAGAAGACGGUGGCGGAAGCAUGUCAUUGGUUGGAUCUGACAUCUCUCGCGCGGUGGCUGUGGAGAAGUGUCGGGUAGUGAGAAGGAAGCUUAAAUUUUUGUAAGUAUUGGGCAAGGAAUAGGAUCAAAGAGCUGCCAGACUUGACAUUU
This 642-nucleotide unclassified non-coding RNA is filed under the name Hevea brasiliensis (rubber tree). Lineage: Eukaryota; Viridiplantae; Streptophyta; Magnoliopsida; Malpighiales; Euphorbiaceae. The record is from RNAcentral.